AGUGAACGCUGGCGGUAGGCCUAACACAUGCAAGUCGAACGGCAGCACAGUAAGAGCUUGCUCUUACGGGUGGCGAGUGGCGGACGGGUGAGGAAUACAUCGGAAUCUACUUUUUCGUGGGGGAUAACGUAGGGAAACUUACGCUAAUACCGCAUACGACCUACGGGUGAAAGCAGGGGAUCUUCGGACCUUGCGCGAUUGAAUGAGCCGAUGUCGGAUUAGCUAGUUGGCGGGGUAAAGGCCCACCAAGGCGACGAUCCGUAGCUGGUCUGAGAGGAUGAUCAGCCACACUGGAACUGAGACACGGUCCAGACUCCUACGGGAGGCAGCAGUGGGGAAUAUUGGACAAUGGGCGCAAGCCUGAUCCAGCCAUACCGCGUGGGUGAAGAAGGCCUUCGGGUUGUAAAGCCCUUUUGUUGGGAAAGAAAAGCAGCAGGUUAAGACCCCGCUGUUCGGACGGGACCCAAAGAAUAAGCACCGGCUAACUGCGG
Molecule: ribosomal RNA, 491 nt
Filed under: uncultured bacterium
Lineage: Bacteria
Description: partial 16S ribosomal RNA
Rfam family: Bacterial small subunit ribosomal RNA
Source: RNAcentral